AUUGAACGCUGGCGGCAGGCCUAACACAUGCAAGUCGAACGAGCGGCGGACGGGUGAGUAAUGUCUGGGAAACUGCCUGAUGGAGGGGGAUAACUACUGGAAACGGUAGCUAAUACCGCAUACCAUCAGAUGUGCCCAGAUGGGAUUAGCUAGUAGGUGGGGUAAUGGCUCACCUAGGCGACGAUCCCUAGCUGGUCUGAGAGGAUGACCAGCCACACUGGAACUGAGACACGGUCCAGACUCCUACGGGAGGCAGAAGUGGGGAAUAGUGCACAAUGGGCGAAAGCCGGAUGCAGCCAUGCCGCGUGGGUGAAGAAGGCCUUCGGGUUGUAAAGUACUUUCAGCGGGGAGGCGUUACCAGCAGAAGAAGCACCGGCUAACUCCGUGCCAGCAGCCGCGGUAAAAC
Molecule: ribosomal RNA, 406 nt
Filed under: uncultured bacterium
Lineage: Bacteria
Description: partial 16S ribosomal RNA
Rfam family: Bacterial small subunit ribosomal RNA
Source: RNAcentral